GUGUCAGAGAUUAGAGGCUUCACUGUGUGGAAUUGGCUGAUAGCGUUAAACAUUCGGUUGCAUAAGUGAGACAGUGCCUGUCCAGCUGUCCAACUGUGUCAAAUGGCACAUAAAGAUUCCGAUUCUGUCGGAUGAAAAAUAACACCAACUUGCAUUGGGAGUAUUUAGGGGCUCUCGAUAACACUCACGCCGAGGUCAUGUCGACCACUCGGCACUGAUAAUCCUCCGGCGGCAUCGGGGUCGAAGUCGGAAUCGGAGGAGGACUGUUGCCGAGAGCGCGGAGUACUGUGUAUGUCAAAGGUCACGUUCGCGUACCACCCUCCCUCCCUUGAGAACCUUCGAUCCCUGCCAGUCGCUAUCGACUGCCGAGAUAAUGGGCAAUCUAAUGGCCCUGAUUAGCCCGAAUCGGGAGAACAGUUUUGCUUUUCAAUGGAGUGGAACGAACAGUUCCGCAGGCCUGAUUUCCAAUGGAUCCCGACCAAACGCAUCGAAUUGGUUUGACUUUUGAGAGGAUAAAGAGAAUUUGAAACUUGUUAACGGUCGGUUGACAAGCGUAACGAGAUGGGAGUAGAGGAUGCUGGGGAACCGAUUUUAAUUACACGUAAUCUUUAUAAAUAGAAGCCGCAAGAGGCAGAAGGCAAUAACCGGCGAGGAUCCUCGGCCAUCCAAUAAAAAAGUGCAGCACACAGAACCAAGCACAAGUUGAAUGCAUAAAUCAAUAGUGCCUUGAGCUGUGGAAGGCAGUAAACACAGAUACCAGCUCACACAGAAGCCGAGAGCGAAAAAUGCCGGGACAAGCCAUAAAUGAGUAAUUGCUGACAACGCUGCAGACCUUAUCCAGUAGCCUUGGUUUGGGCCUUCUUCUGGGCCUCCAUCUAUGAUGGGUCCAGUGCCAUUUUCAGCCAGGACAACAAACCAUAAGCGUACGCCUAGUCAAACAAAACUUAAAAGAACUAGGAACUGGGAGCCACCGAGGGCUGAAUAAUGUAUGCCCUAAUAUAUUGGAAACUCAAAUAUAUAAAAUUACUACCCUUAACUAAAUUUAUUUACUAAAAU
Molecule: long non-coding RNA, 1056 nt
Organism: Drosophila gunungcola (fruit fly)
Lineage: Eukaryota; Metazoa; Arthropoda; Insecta; Diptera; Drosophilidae
Exons: 4
Source: RefSeq, a predicted model, not a curated record